GUGUCUCUUCAGCAGCACACAUACUAAAAUUGGAAUGAUACAGAGAAGAUUAAUGUGACCCCAUCAAGGAUGACAACAAAUUCAUGAAGUGUUUCCAUGCUUUU
Molecule: small nuclear RNA, 104 nt
Organism: Pteronotus mesoamericanus
Lineage: Eukaryota; Metazoa; Chordata; Mammalia; Chiroptera; Mormoopidae
Source: RefSeq, a predicted model, not a curated record